Molecule: ribosomal RNA, 473 nt
Filed under: uncultured bacterium
Lineage: Bacteria
Description: bacterial SSU rRNA
Rfam family: Bacterial small subunit ribosomal RNA
Source: RNAcentral
AGAGUUUGAUCCUGGCUCAGAUUGAACGCUGGCGGCAUGCCUUACACAUGCAAGUCGAACGGUAACAGGGAGCUUGCUCCGCUGACGAGUGGCGAACGGGUGAGUAAUAUAUCGGAACGUGCCUGGUAAUGGGGGACAACUAGUCGAAAGAUUAGCUAAUACCGCAUACGCCCUACGGGGGAAAGAGGGGGAUUCGCAAGAACCUCUCGUUAUCAGAGCGGCCGAUAUCUGAUUAGCUAGUUGGUGAGGUAAAGGCUCACCAAGGCUUCGAUCAGUAGCUGGUCUGAGAGGACGACCAGCCACACUGGGACUGAGACACGGCCCAGACUCCUACGGGAGGCAGCAGUGGGGAAUUUUGGACAAUGGGCGCAAGCCUGAUCCAGCAAUGCCGCGUGAGUGAAGAAGGCCUUCGGGUUGUAAAGCUCUUUUGUCAGGGAAGAAACGGUCUUGGUUUAAUACCUGGGGCUAAUGAC